This 491-nucleotide long non-coding RNA is filed under the name Elaeis guineensis (African oil palm). RNAcentral describes it as "long non-coding RNA (EGUI_LNC021354)". Lineage: Eukaryota; Viridiplantae; Streptophyta; Magnoliopsida; Arecales; Arecaceae. The record is from RNAcentral.
CUCUCUUACCUCCCUUUAUAUAAAGGUGAGGUCUGCCAUUGUUUUGUAAUCUCCGUCCCUUGAAAUAUGAGAACGUGAAAGUUACCGAAUUUAGAUGGAUGUAGUUGCGAGUUAUUCUGGCCUAUGAUGUCUCAAUUAUGAGUAGCUGGUGCUCCUGUCAGUCAUUCUGGAUCGUGUGUUAUGAUUUUUUUUCAUAUUUUUGGCCAUCUGUCGAGUAAUACAAUCAGUUAAAUAUCGACAUAAUCAUCAAUAUACAUAGUAGUCGUGUUACCGGAUAGAUUGUUGAACAUCGUCGAUUGUGCGUCAUCAAUCAGAUAUAGUUGGCGAUCAUCCAAAUAAAUUUGGCUACAAAAGUGAUUGUCGGUCUUCCUUCAAGUAAGAUUAUCGGACUUCCUCCAAGAUUAUAACUCCAAAUAUUUACCCCAAUGAUGCAUAUCUUUGAUAGAAAACACCACAGUAGCAAAUUAGAGCGGGGAUGACACUAUAGCACA